UGGGGAAAAUAUUAAUGCCACCGGUUCAAAACCGGUGGCUUUGUUUUUUUUAAAAAAAAAAACCGCCCCUUCAUAAACCCUAGCCCUAAAACUCUCCUCUCUCCCCUCCUCUCCCUUCUCUCUCUUGCUCUCCCCCUCUCUUCUCUCUCCUGCGAUCUCCCCUCACCACUUCUCUCUCAUUCUCAACAACCAUCAUCGCCGCCGCCAUCUAUCUCUCAUCUUCUUCUCUCUCGUUAUCUCUCUUGCCGUAGUUAGGGCUCAGUUGCAAAAUCGAAAAUUUCCCCUAAAACCAUAAAACACAGGCGAAAUCUCAACAAUGGCGGACGGAGGCAACAAGGGAAUCUCUCUCGACAAACUCCCUAUCAAACGCCUCGAAAUCAUUGAAGAAUCCGGCGCCGAACGCUUUUCCUCAUAGUUUCUCUCUCCUCCAUUUAUCGAAAUUGAAUACGAAGAGAAAACGCUGUGUUGGACAGAGAUGCGAAGAAGCAGAAGACGAAGGAAUCAUCUGCACUGUAAAAUCCUUUUACUACGAAUUACACUGAUUUUAUUCUGAGCUGAAAUUAACACUAUUACAAGCUAUUUUUGGUUGUUUUUUUCUGAUAUUUUUUUUUUUUUUUUGCCAUUUAGCUGAUAGAUUUGUUACUUGUUUGAUAUGAUGUAUUGAUUAUUGAGCUUGAAUCAAUUUUAACCCAGAAUUGUGGGAAAUUUUGCUUGGUUUCUGCUGGAUUUUGGUGGGUGCUUAGACCUAUGGAUUAAUUUUUGUUUGAUUGAAUUUUGGUCUGAUUGUGUAAAAAAUAUGAUUACAGUUGACUUCAAUCCUUAAUUUGUGAUGUUAUGUGAAUUUUGGUCUGAUAGUAUUUCCAUAGUUGUUAUGUGAUAGACAAGAAAGAGUACUUAAUGUGAGAUUCCCAUGUCCAGGAGAAAUGAUAGUUCCAAUUGCUGAACUAUAGAACAAAUAUGUAGCAGAUAGAUAAUAUCACUUACAAGAUGAAUUACCUUGCUAAUAUUGUUAUUUGAAAGCUAUGGUUUUAUAUUACUCUUAUUAAUCUAUAUGCUUACUUGGUGUUGGAUUGAAGUUGCAUUUGUGGUUUUGUAUGUGCAAGACUUACCAAGUUACACUAAAUAGGGCCGGCUCAAAGUAACAAGGAAAAAGUAAAGGGAGGUUGGACCUUGAAAAACUUGAUAGUUUUAGGUGUAACCAUGUAUAUUCCUAAUAACUUUAGGGUUAUUAUCCUGCCCAUAGAUUAUGACAUUUGCACCUUAGAUUGAAAACUUUCAACCAAUUUAUUUUCAAGAUCAUGCAUUUUCUUUGUGAGCUACUAUGUCAAUGUUUCCUCAUUUUUUUAGUAAUAAAGUAAUAAAGCUACUAUGUCUACAGAUUGUGAUCACAUGCUUGAAUAAAUAGCUCUUAUAAAAGAGAUAAACAAUAGAAUUGUAUGCUCUUGUUAUUUUACAAUUAGAUCAAGGCAUCUUUAGCACAAUUUUUGGUGAUUUUGAUUUUUUUUUUUGAAUUUUUCUGCGAUUUUUGAGUGAUUUUUGUUUGGUUUUGUUGAUGAAAUGGUUCUAAGAUUUGCUAGUAAAAGGUUCUAAGAUGAUGCUAAUUAAUGAAAUUGAAAUUACUUGGCAGAACUUAAAGUUUGAAUAGCUGCAAAAACGACUAGACAGCCCUUUGCAACCCCCACUACCUUGAUGGCAUUACACAGUCAUUGUUUCUUGAUUUUGCUGUUGAGACUAUGAAGAUCGCUGAAUUGGUAUGUGCUUCAAUUAGUAGAACUGUUCCAUUUCUCUGAGAUUUAUUGGUAUUAAAUACUGGCAAAUUUAUUAGUAUAUGUUCUAAUCAUUAGAGUAUAAUAAGCUGAUGAAACCGAGCAAGUAGGAUCUAUCUUGAGUGUGUUCUUAUAUAUUAAACUGAGCUGGUGGGAUCUAUCUUGAGUGUGCUUUUGUAAAUGAAACCGAUCUGCUGGGAUCCAUCUUGAUUGUGUUCUUAUAUGUCGAUGUCAAGGUUCCAAAAUUCUUGAUUGUGUUCUUGUAAGUCUUGAUGUAAAGGUUCCAAAGUUUUCUUGAAUUUGUUCUUUUAAGCUGAUGUAAAGUUUCCAAAGUUUUCUUGUUUGUGUUCUUUAAAGUCUUGGUGUAAAGGUUCCAAAGUUUUCUUUCUGUUUGCGAGGUAUGAAUGUCUGUUUGUAAUUGAAUGAUUAUUUGCCAAUGUUACUUCAUCGUAUCUAUUCAUAUUCGAAGAAUCUGAAUAACGAUUGGAAAAGACUAGCUUGAGUAUGAACAAGUUGCAUUCUGAAAAGGGCACAAAUAUAUAGGUCAUUUGCUUUCCCCCCCCCCUUUUGUAGUUUAUGAAAUCAUGCACUGAUACUGGUUUGAAGCUUCACCUUUGAGUAGGAUGUGUGUUCUUCGCCUUGGUUACAUGGGUACAUUUUUUUUAGUAAUAUAUAUUGUCUGGUACAUGUGUUGCACUUAUCUCCUUGUGCAGUUUGGAGACUACUUUGAGAAAUUAUUCAUGCUUGACCUCUAGAGACAGCAUCAUGGUGGCAUAUAACAACAAGAAGUAUUACGUUGACAUUAUUGAAACAAAGCCCUCUCAUGCAAUCAGUAUAAUCGAGACAGACUAUGAGGUGGACUUUGCCCCUCUUGAUUAUAAAGAGCCUGAAAAUGUAUUUUGCCAAGGCUUUUCUUCUCGGUCUUCCUCACUGCAUGUAUAUAUGGUUGAAUUUAAGGUGGCUGUCGGAAGAUGUUAUCUAUAAGCAAGGCUGCUGCUGCCUCGCUUAGGCUCGCUGCUGCAGUUGCUGCCUCGCCAGGUGUUACAUUGGUGAUUUGGUGUGACCUGUAUUUAACAGUGACUUGUAAUUUUUUUUUUUGGACCAAAAUUGUAAUAUUACAACCUUUUUUAAUGAAAAUAUGUA
This is a long non-coding RNA of Chenopodium quinoa (quinoa), 2909 nucleotides long. RefSeq lists it as uncharacterized. Lineage: Eukaryota; Viridiplantae; Streptophyta; Magnoliopsida; Caryophyllales; Amaranthaceae. The record is from RefSeq and is a predicted model, not a curated record. The transcript has 3 exons.